UUUAUAUUUAUAUAAUCUCACUACAGAGAAGUGUACCCAGUCAGCACAGUGAAUAUAGAGAUACUUAGCUUUAAUAAAGAACUAACAUUCAGUGCUGUAAAACAAUAACCAUACAAUUGGGUCUAUUUUUGGGAAAACAAAUUAUAGUCAAAUUUUACCUGACACAAAUAUGGUGCAACCAAUCCAUCUCUCAGCUGGUUUCUCCAUAUCUUGGUAUUUUAAUCACCUCUAGACAAUGAUUCUUUAUAGGUUCUUACAAUUUCCUGAUAAACUGCUGCAUUAAAUUGUUGAUGGCCACUUUUGUUUCUUGAUUCUUUAUUGUCACUAUCAAAACAUCUAUUUUGUAAACUUUUAUUUAAUAAACCACACCCACAAGCAUAGAGGGCCAUAUCUUCAGCUGGCGUAUAAUCCAUCCUCCCAUCUUUUAUAUUGUUUCUAAUAUAAUUUUGUUUGCAGCAACUCCUUCACAAUGAGAUACUUAUCCUGAAUUAUUUAACAUAUACUCUUAGAAAGGAAAGAAUGUGCUGUAAAUCACCACUAAUAUGAAAGUUUAUUUUUUAGUGAAUUGCAUUUUAUUUGCUUCAGUUGAACACCAUUAUUUACAGACAUACAUUAAUAAAACACAUCACAAAACAAUAAAAAUGUUAAGUUAAUAUUUAUAGGUGCAUAGUUCAUGCUCAGUUACUUUAUAUAUGUAUAUAUAAACAGUUCUCACAAUAAAUUAAUCUCGAAACAGUAAUAAUAAGAAACAAACAAACAAAAUCCUUGUAUCAGAAACAAUACCAAAUUACUGACAAUCUAGCAAUAAAACAUGUACAGCUUUAGAAAUAAGCAAUAGACACUUAGGUGGUUUAAUUUUUUUUUUUUAUACUUUUAAAACCUGAAGCCACAAUAUCCACAGCACGACAAUGGCCCUGCCACCCAGUUGUUCAUUUCAGUGGGAGGGAAUCACUGGAAUGAAAGCAGGGCGCAGACCCAGACACUCCAAUCAUUGCUGAUGGAAGACUUCAAAAUACACUGUAAAAACUAUAAAAAAAAAAAAGUUUACAACUGGGCACAUUGGAACUCAGCACUUGUACAGGACAGGACGUCUUUGUUAGCAGAUUUCAGAAGAUAGAAAGAGGGAAGAGAUUUUCAUGCUUCAGGUUCAUAAUCUUGAUACUCUUCCUAUUGAGGAGAGCAAAAAUCAAAAUUGGUAACACUUAGAAAAAUUCUACUCCCGCUGGGGUCAAUGGAAAAAAGGCCACUGAUUUUAUUUAGAACACAAUCUGGCUAUUUAUCUUUAUUUGGUUGGCAUUACUUUAGCUUGUUUUCCAAAUACCCAGUACUUAAAUGACAAGAAAAAGGUGUUUACAGAUUAAUUAGACUUCCCCUGAGGUUAACUUGCCGUUCA
This 1393-nucleotide long non-coding RNA is filed under the name Gopherus agassizii (Agassiz's desert tortoise). Its description in RNAcentral is "lncRNA (ENSGAGG00000011701.1)". The record is from RNAcentral. Lineage: Eukaryota; Metazoa; Chordata; Testudines; Testudinidae.